AGUGAUUUCACUCUAACAUGGUGUUUCUCAGGCUUCUUAUAACAAAGUUUGAAAUGUCCUGUAAAAUGGUCUUUUAUACUAUGAUUGACUUCAACUUUAUCAAUGUAUUUUAUUUCCUUGAGGUAAUUUGGUGCAAUAUGAUAGUGCCCUUUCAUAAAAAUACCUAAAAGCAACUUUCUUAUAAGAGAUCAUAUUGUGGGACCAUUUGGGGAUCAGGCCUGGUUGAUAAGAUAGCUUUUUAUAAACUUUUGUCUGGAAUUUGCAAUUGCUGAUAGAAAUCUAAGUCUAAAAAAAAAUGUAUACUGUGUUGGGUUUGCUGCUUUGGUCUUAAUGAAAUCCAAGUGCUUCUGCUAUAAAAGUAUCAAUGAAUUCUGUUAGUUUCAAGCCAUCAUCCAAAAUUACAAAAAUGUCAUCAAUAAACCUCACAUAGAACUUCAGAAAAGGUUGGCAAAAAAGACUGUUCUACAGAUGUUAACAAGAUUUCUGCAAGUGGACCUGCCAAUGUGCUCCUAUUGGCAUUCUUCUUGUCUAUUGGUAUAUUCUAUCCUUAAAAACAUAAUAUGAGUUAUAGCAUAUUAAAUAUGCUAUGUCCCUCAAUAAGUCAGCAGUAUUAUUUGCCUGCAGUACAUUUUCCAAUAAAAACCUCUAAAAAUCCAGGUAAGCAGGCUCUAGAUGGAAGGAAGGGUAAAGAUUAUCAAAAUCAUAUGUUGUAAGCCAGCUACCAUUUUUGAGAUGUAUUCCAAAUAAUCUCCUAAGCACUGAUGAGUUUAUCAUGGUUGCUCUGUCAGACUCAUUUAAAAUUGUAUUACACCAUUUAGUUUAGUUGAUCAUGGUAAUAAAAGACCAUUUUUGCAGGACAUUUUAAAUUCUGUUGGAGGAAGCCUGAUAAACUCCAGGAUGAAUCAACUUGAGCUAGCUGAUCUACAAACACUAGAUGGUUACUUAGCUGUGUUCUAUAAUUUGAAUAAAUUUAAUUUCAUUAAUAAAAUAGUUAAGAAACACAAUAAGAUCAUCACUGUUAAAAGACGGCAGACCAUUAUCAAUCUUGUAAGAAAUGAGAAAGACCUCUUAAAUGAUUUUUGGAGAAGGGAAGUAUAUAAAAUACCUGUGGAAAAUGCUAGAACUAACCAAAAGUCUGCAUAUUUUGAUGCAACUAAAUGGACCCUUACAUAAAGACUAGAUGAACUUAAGAGGAACAUUCAUAAUGAUUAAUUAAUGACAGCAUUAUCAGUGGAGGUUUACUCUAAUGAUCUGCAGAUAAGCUGGAAUCAGGCUAAAAUUAUUAGGCCAUUGAAUACACAGAACCAAGCCACAACUUCUGAAGUGCUAGAAAUAGUUACAAGGCAGACAACUGAGAACAUCUUAAAUAAAAAGCCCACAACUCUCCAUAGCAUGGAUGUACACUGUAGAGAAGAACUUACUCCCCAUUCCUAAUAAAAUGUAAUUUACUCUUAUACCAUGCU
RNAcentral lists this long non-coding RNA (1463 nucleotides) under Androctonus crassicauda. The record is from RNAcentral. Lineage: Eukaryota; Metazoa; Arthropoda; Arachnida; Scorpiones; Buthidae.